GACGAACGCUGGCGGCGUGCCUAACACAUGCAAGUCGAACGGAUGUAGCAAUACAUUAGUGGCGAACGGGUGAGUAACACGUAAGCGACCUACCCUCAAGACUGGUACAACUAGUCGAAAGAUUGGCUAAUUCCAGAUGUGGUCACGGAAUUUCCUGGUUCUGUGAUUAAAUCCCGCAAGGGGCUUGAGGAUGGGCUUGCGGCCUAUCAGCUAGUUGGCGGGGUAACGGCCCACCAAGGCAAUGACGGGGUAACUGGUCUGAGAGGACGACCAGUCACAAGGGAACUGAGACACGGUCCCUACUCCUACGGGUGGCUG
RNAcentral lists this ribosomal RNA (318 nucleotides) under uncultured bacterium. RNAcentral describes it as "bacterial SSU rRNA". It matches the Rfam family "Bacterial small subunit ribosomal RNA", at positions 28 to 351 of the family's 1533-position model. The record is from RNAcentral.